AACUACUGUGAACACCCACGAGCGAUCACACACAUACACAUCCCUCACUCACACACACACACACACACAGCAACAUCUAUCCUACAUACGGCUGAAAAAAAAAGUCUACGAACAAAAUUUUUACAGUGCGUCGCCGCACAUUUCUCCGUAAUGGACGCGACUGAGCUGAAGAACAAGGGGAACGAAGAGUUCUCCGCCGGCCGCUAUGUGGAGGCAGUGAACUACUUCUCAAAGGCGAUCCAGUUGGAUGAGCAGAACAGUGUCCUCUACAGCAACCGCUCCGCCUGCUUUGCAGCCAUGCAAAAGUACAAGGACGCGCUGGACGACGCCGACAAGUGCAUCUCGAUCAAGCCGAAUUGGGCCAAGGGCUACGUGCGCCGAGGCGCAGCUCUCCAUGGCAUGCGCCGCUACGACGAUGCCAUUGCCGCGUAUGAAAAGGGGCUCAAGGUGGACCCUUCCAACAGCAGCUGCGCGCAGGGCGUGAAGGACGUGCAGGUAGCCAAGGCCCGCGAAGCACGUGACCCCAUCGCUCGCGUCUUCACCCCGGAGGCGUUCCGAAAGAUCCAAGAGAAUCCCAAGCUGUCCCUACUUAUGCUGCAGCCUGACUACGUGAAGAUGGUGGACACCGUCAUCCGCGACCCUUCGCAGGCCCGACUGUACAUGGAAGACCAGCGCUUUGCCCUGACGCUCAUGUACCUGAGCGGGAUGAAGAUUCCCAACGAUGGUGAUGACGAGGAGGAGGAACGUCCGUCUGCGAAGGCGGCGGAGACAGCGAAGCCAAAAGAGGAGAAGCUUCUCACCGACAACGAGAAGGAGGCCCUGGCGCUCAAGGAGGAGGGCAACAAGCUCUACCUCUCGAAAAAGUUUGAGGAGGCGCUGACCAAGUACCAAGAGGCGCAGGUGAAAGACCCCAAGAACACUUUGUACAUUCUGAACGUGUCGGCCGUGUACUUCGAGCAGGGUGACUACGACAAGUGCAUCGCCGAGUGCGAGCACGGUAUCGAGCACGCUCGCGAGAACCACUGCGACUACACAAUCAUUGCGAAGCUCAUGACCCGGAACGCCUUGUGCCUCCAAAAGCAGAGGAAGUACGAGGCCGCCAUUGACCUUUACAAGCGCGCCCUUGUCGAGUGGCGUAACCCUGACACCCUCAAGAAGCUCACGGAGUGCGAGAAGGAGCACCAAAAGGCGGUGGAGGAAGCCUACAUCGAUCCUGAGAUCGCGAAGCAGAAGAAAGACGAAGGUAACCAGUACUUCAAGGAGGAUAAGUUCCCCGAGGCCGUGACAGCGUACACGGAGGCCAUCAAACGCAACCCUGCCGAGCACACCUCCUACAGCAAUCGCGCGGCCGCUUACAUCAAGCUUGGAGCCUUCAACGACGCCCUCAAGGACGCGGAGAAGUGCAUUGAGCUGAAGCCCGACUUUGUUAAGGGCUACGCGCGCAAGGGUCAUGCUUACUUUUGGACCAAGCAGUACAACCGCGCGCUGCAGGCGUACGAUGAGGGCCUCAAGGUGGACCCGAGCAACGCGGACUGCAAGGAUGGGCGGUAUCGCACAAUCAUGAAGAUUCAGGAGAUGGCAUCUGGCCAGUCCGCGGAUGGCGACGAGGCGGCGCGCCGCGCCAUGGACGAUCCUGAAAUCGCGGCAAUCAUGCAAGAUAGCUACAUGCAACUAGUGCUGAAGGAGAUGCAGAACGAUCCCACGCGCAUUCAGGAGUACAUGAAGGACUCCGGCAUCUCAGCGAAGAUCAACAAGCUGAUUUCAGCUGGCAUCAUUCGUUUUGGUCAGUAGACUUCUACGCUGCCUCAUUUUUUUCUGUGUCUUUGCGUCGGCGGACAUCACAAAGAACAGUAAAGCAGCGAUUCGCAUGCACGGGUAAAGUGCUGCGCCUCUCAAACACGACGUCGAGGCUGUGGUGCAGAUGCGCGUCCCGCAUGAAGGUAAUGAAGAGGAAGCAAGGGAUGUCGUUUGUGAGCCUUUGUGGCUGCGCACACACUCCUUAUCUCCUUCGCUUGGCACCUUCUCCCCUUUUUUUUCUCACGCUCUUCCUGGCGCGGUGGUGCAACGAUUUUGUUUUAUUUUCGUGUGUAGUUCCUCUAUUCAACGGUGCAAUGACGCUAAAGAAGCUGCCCUGUAUUCGGCUAGGGCGAAGGUAAAAGACUAGAGGGAGGGAGGGAGGGAGGGGGAAGGCAGGGGCGGCGAGCAGAGGGGACACCGUGGCCAUCACCGAAAAGAAGCAAGCAAAAGAAAAGGUCUCCAACGCCUGCAUUUCCGCGCGCUCUCACCCACCUCCCUUCUCUCUCUCUCUCGCUAUCUUGUCAACGGAGACAUGAAGGUCAUUUGGUAGGAAAAGAGGGGAGGGAGGGGGACGACGCGCUGCGUCUUUCGGGCACUGGCCGCGUGCGGCACCCUCUUUUUUUUUCUCUCUAUUGGCACUGUCUUGUUUCUUUUCCCUUUCCUAUCAUACGCGUCUCGCAAAAGACUCCGCGCUGAGCAGCCAUGUGCUGCGGCGUGGAGGAAGUACAUCGACGUCACUGAUGCAUAAAUGCGCGUCCGUGUACGCGCUUGUAUGGAGCUUCUAACAGCGUCUGUGUGUGUCUGUGUAUUUCGAGCGUCUGUAUGCUAUUCUAUUAAGCACCGAAGAAACGACACAAACGACAGCGAAGAUGGUGUCGGCUUUUCGGCUAAUCGCUCCCUUCAAUAGCUUCUCUGAAGGAGAUUCUCCCCCCAGAGGAAUAGACUGCAGAUGGGGUCAACGUAUAUCUGAGGAGUCGACAGAAGACAAGGAAAAGAAGGGUGACGCAGAACCAUGUUGUUUUCUUUGUGCCCAGGUGUCACGUUGGCAGCGGCGGGCCUGUGCAGGUGGCGAUGGAGGCGCACGGGGUGGCAUAGAAGCUCACGGGCUGAUCACGCAGCUUCUGGCUUUACAAGCUGAUCAUCUUGCUGCGAUGCUGCGAUGCCGCGGUGCACCGUGACACCCGUGCAUACCAAAG
This 2993-nucleotide unclassified non-coding RNA is filed under the name Leishmania donovani. RNAcentral's name for it is "gene:LdHU3.08.1470(CDS-product:stress-induced_pro tein_sti1)". Lineage: Eukaryota; Euglenozoa; Kinetoplastea; Trypanosomatida; Trypanosomatidae. The record is from RNAcentral.